Molecule: long non-coding RNA, 816 nt
Filed under: Musa acuminata (dwarf banana)
Lineage: Eukaryota; Viridiplantae; Streptophyta; Magnoliopsida; Zingiberales; Musaceae
Description: long non-coding RNA (MACU_LNC003933)
Source: RNAcentral
AAUAGUUUAUUGUCUUGACAUUUACAGUACGUAAGAGUGUAUGUUAGGAUUUCAAAUGAUAAGAAAGCAAUUAAUCCUCAGUUUUGACUCUUUUAUGUCUUACCAACAUGGAGAGUUCUUGUCAGAUUCCAAAAGAGAUGCCGGAGCUUUCUAAUCUUUGAUUUGUUCUGCUGGAACAUUCAAGAUACGGUGCGAAGCAAACGCCACCGCCCUUCCAGAAACGUAAGGCUCGCCUCUUUCGUGCGACAGCAUGCAACCGCGUUAUUGGCUCGUCGAGAAAGCCGGAGGACGACGGCUGCUGAAUUCCGUGAGCGUCCGGCAUGAUCGAAGCACAACGUGAAAUGGAUUGGUUUCAGGAACGGUGAGGGCUCAAAGCGUACGUCGCCGUCCUCCUGCCUCCUCUACAGUCAACGAAGAUUACUCAACCCAACUUUGUUUGUACUCUCCAAGACAGCGAUGUCGAAAGCAACUCCAUCGAGAGGAAGAGUUGGCUCGCCGUUGAAUCUUCUCGUAGCGAACGAGGCAGGAAGCUGCAACUGACGUAGGAAUCAUGCGCUUCCGUCUCUGAGAACACAAGAAACAGGUAAUGCCAUAGAAUUCAUAAUGUGAGAGCAUUCUUCCGUCCCAAGCAAGCUAGUUUUUGUCAUUGUCAAUUCUAGAAGAGAAUCGACUGGAAUUGGUUUGGACUUCUGAUGGCAUUAAUUAUCACUUGUCGAUUGAAAGAAUUCGUGCUUCUUUUGACAUUGUCAUAUGAGCAUUGCUUCGCCCUUUGUGCAGGGAUGAUGACUAGCAAUCUUCCCCAGCACGUGUCGGCCG